GACGAACGCUGGCGGCGUGCCUAAUACAUGCAAGUCGAGCGGACUUGAUGAAGUGCUUGCACUUCUGAUGGUUAGCGGCGGACGGGUGAGUAACACGUAGGUAACCUGCCUAUAAGACUGGGAUAACAUUCGGAAACGAAUGCUAAUACCGGAUACGCGAAUUGGUCGCAUGGCCGAAUUGGGAAAGACGGAGCAAUCUGUCACUUAUAGAUGGACCUGCGGCGCAUUAGCUAGUUGGUGAGGUAACGGCUCACCAAGGCGACGAUGCGUAGCCGACCUGAGAGGGUGAUCGGCCACACUGGGACUGAGACACGGCCCAGACUCCUACGGGAGGCAGCAGUAGGGAAUCUUCCGCAAUGGACGAAAGUCUGACGGAGCAACGCCGCGUGAGUGAUGAAGGUUUUCGGAUCGUAAAGCUCUGUUGCCAGGGAAGAACGCUUGGGAGAGUAACUGCUCUCAAGGUGACGGUACCUGAGAAGAAAGCCCCGGCUAACUACGUGCCAGCAGCCGCGGUAA
RNAcentral lists this ribosomal RNA (516 nucleotides) under uncultured bacterium. RNAcentral's name for it is "partial 16S ribosomal RNA". It matches the Rfam family "Bacterial small subunit ribosomal RNA", at positions 28 to 523 of the family's 1533-position model. The record is from RNAcentral.